Molecule: long non-coding RNA, 853 nt
Filed under: Panax ginseng (ginseng)
Lineage: Eukaryota; Viridiplantae; Streptophyta; Magnoliopsida; Apiales; Araliaceae
Description: long non-coding RNA (PGIN_LNC016216)
Source: RNAcentral
AAAACUAUAUAAUAUAAAUAAUUUAGUUUGGGAGGGAAAUUCUUUGUUAGCCAAACAUGGCCUUGUGGCCUUUGGUCUUGUGUAACUGACGUAGACGUAUGAUUUUUUUUAACUGAAGUGUGUGGGCUUCAGUUUAUUUAUGGGUCUACUUUUCUAAGGCUUAGCUAGAUAUCACAGAGUGUUGAGAGAGAGAGCUUGGAAGAAGAGAACACAAAGAUUUUAGAGAAGGAAGAUCAUAGUGGUUUUGAGAGAGAAUCACCAUUUCUUGCUAGCAUACAACUACGGUUUGCUAAAUCAAGGUAUAUUCUACUUCUAAGGUUUAUGUUUGAGUUUUCAUGUUCAUUCUCUGUAAAUUGCUAAGUCAUGUUGUGUUGAAAUAUACAUGCAGAUAUGGUUUAUAAACUGAUAAUCAUCAUAUAUGGUGGAUACUUGUGUGUCAAAUUUGUUAAAAUUGGGUUGUAGGAAGGAAAAAUAAUUAACAGUGUUCAUAUUUGAAAAAUGGCUUUAGAAAGUACCAAAUUUCAUGCUUUAUAUGUGUUGUAAUUUGAAAUUUAUUGUUGGAUUAUGUUGCUAUUGUAAGAAACGAAAACAACGAAGUUUAAAUCAUGACAAUUGAUUAAGAAACGAGUUCGUGGCGAUCAAAUUCGUUAAAAGUAUAAAAAUGAAGAAAUUUGGAAAAAUUAUAGUUUUGAUUCUUCAAAUUCGUAUAUGUGUGAUGUUUUUAUAUAUAGAAUGAUGAAUAGCAUGUAUAGCUAUGUUAGUACAAAGUUUUAGAUGUUGAAGUGGGUAAUUUUCUGUAGAAUUGGGAUUAUUGGCCAAAACAGAGUCUGUUUUCGAGCUUCUGUAAAAAACU